This 17665-nucleotide long non-coding RNA is filed under the name Lactuca sativa (garden lettuce). RNAcentral describes it as "long non-coding RNA (LSAT_LNC007355)". The record is from RNAcentral. Lineage: Eukaryota; Viridiplantae; Streptophyta; Magnoliopsida; Asterales; Asteraceae.
GGAAUGGGCCAAGUUCAUUUAGGUUGGGAUAAGCUUUGAUGGAUAUUCCAUGGAGUUUUUAACACAUGGAUCCUAUGGAAAUGAAAGGUCAUGGGUAUUAGGGCUUAAAUGAAAGUAACCCUAAUCCUCCAUACUAUAUAACGAGGUCUUUGGCACAUGAAAUGACACUAGUGUGGGAAAUACAAGAGUGGGACGAUUUCUAGUGUGCAUGAUAUUCUCUCAAGGUUUUCCAAGAUGUUUUGGUGAUUUUUGAUUCCACAUGAGGCUUCCACACUAUUGGGUCUAAGAUCUUAAAGUUCAAGACUUUAAGCUUCAUCAAAAGGUAUGUCUACUAACUUGUUUUAUUAUGCAAGUAUCAAAGAAUGUAUGCUAGUUAGGGUAAUACCUUGGAAAGUUCAUAUUUUCAUGUAUCAUAGAAAAAACAUAGAUCCAAGGUAUUUAGGGUUGCAUGUACACCAUAGGAGUGUUAGAAUUGUCAAAACCUAUCAGUGGUAUCAGAGCUUAGGCUUGUUUUCACUUAUACUUGAUGAAAAUGGCUAAAAAUCGAAGUUUCUUGCUGUUUGGGAAACUAACUCGGCGAGUCCAUCAGGUGACUCGACGAGUCCAUUCCUAAAAAGUGCUUAAAUUCAUCAAACUUGUCAAGUUGGUUCAUGCACUCGACGAGUUGGACCCCUUGACAACAUAUAUUCGAGUUUUUUGGCUGGAAUUGGACUAGAAACAUUACCCUAAGCUGUUUUUGAACUUGUAAAGCUGUUUUUGAUGUGGUAAUGUUUAUGCUAAUCCAAUUUCAAAGAUAAUUGUCAAUAGAUUCAUGUUUUGAAUUAUUUUAAUGGUUAGGCUAAUUACAUGAAAAUUGUUUGAUUUAAAUUGUCUUGUUCAUAUGAGUUUAAAUCAAGAUUAUGAAUAUUGCUAGAUUUGUUUGUGAUAGUUAUUUUAAUCCAAAUUGAUCUAAAAGUUAUUCAUAAAUUGUGUUUUUGUAACUUGUCCUCAAGUUAUAUGAAAUGUCACAUUUAUGAUUUAUAAAACCUCAUAAGAUUUCCAUAAGUUAUAAAAAGAUGAAGAGUCUCAUUUUUAAAUGCUUUAAAGUCUUCCAUAACUUGUCCUCAAGUUAUGGAACUUGAAGAGUUUUUCAUAAAAACUACUUUAAACUCAUAAGUUAUGGAAUUGAAAAGUUUUUGAGUUGUUCAAAACUUGCCCUCAAGUUUUGGAAUUUAAAAAGGUUUCCUCUCAUGAAUACUUUAAUUCCAAGCUAAAUCCUUAGAAUUUUAAAAGUUAAAAUUCAACCCUUUUACUAUUAUAAUAUUAUAAGUUAAUAAUAUGUAUAUGUAUAAGAACAAGUCGUUUUACCAUUAGUAGGCCUCAUUCAUGAAGUCGGUCUAUAAGAGGGGAUAUAAGGUUAUUGGCUAUAAAAGGGCGGUUUAAUGGGUGUCCACUCUCAUCCACCGCUACCUUGACCGGUGGAGGGUCGUUAGCCGAACGGGUAGGAUAAGGACUAUAAUUCUCCCUUCAUUAUAAGUAUAAUAAUAAAUAUAAAGUAACUAAACCUUUUAUAAAUUCCCAAUCUUAGUUACUUUAGGAAAAUGUAAAUUUGGUGCUAAUCCAUGAAAUUACACUUUGCACUUUGCUUAAGUCGUUAGUGGAGCGUGUGUAGUUAACCAGCACACUAACUUGUAUUUAACAAGGUAGACAAAGGGUAACUUAAUGUUUAUCACAGGAGCGAUGGAGCGUGUGUGGUUAACCGGCACAUCGAUUAAGUGAUAAAUGUUAAGGGUACCAAGUAUAUUUGCAUGGUUAUUCACACCUUAUUAUUGAUCCUCGACAUCCCAGUCACAAACUUGAUAGGGCACAAUCGAGAUUUUAAAUAUACUAUUGAAAAGUUCAAUGAAUCUCACAAGAAUCUAGGAGUUUCCUAAACCAAUUCAAACCUAAUAAUACAUUUUGUUUUUCAUGGUGGAAAUUGGUGAAUCGUCAUUCGCCUACCUUCAAAUAUUUUAUAGCUUGGAUUAUGUGACAACCCAAAACUUUCCAUUCUGUUCAACCAUCCACUUCAAUAUGAGUUAAAACUACUUCUACUAACUUUCAAACUUUUUGGAAUAAGUUUGAGUGGUUUAAAGUUAGUGCUUCAGGAGAUAUCAGGAGAGUGGAUACCCUAAGGUUUACUAUGUAACAAUAAGUGCCCAAAACUUCAAGAAUUUUAAGUUUACGAUCCACAGAGGUUUUGGGACCGUAAACCCAAAAGACUAUAUAAGUGAGACAUAGAAAUUUUAAUCACGUUUUCACAUUUCCAAAGACUAAGGCCAUUUCUCUCUCAAGUAUCAUCCCGUUUUCUUCAAAUAUCUUCAACUAGUAAGUGUUUCUAGCCCUAUUAUCAUUAGAUCAAGUAUUAAACAUCAAGAAAUCAUCAAAAUUCCCUAAGAACAAGGUGUUCACGGCCCAAGAUCUUCUUGGACCGUGAACACUAAAAGUAUGGCUUAAAUGUGCCUUUUGUCCCUUUAGACCUUGGAAACAAGUAUAGCAACAACCCUUGACAUGUUUAAACCUUAAGAGCAUCAAGAAAACACCCAAAAUCACAAAGGAUAAGGUGUCUACGGUCCAAGAAUCUCCUUGGACCGUAAACCCUAAAAAGGGUGCUUAAAGUGUGCCAAAGUGCCCUAAACUCUAGCCAAACCUUAGAAGCAAAAAUGGAACCUUCCUUUGAUAUGUUUAGCACAAGAAAACCACAAAAAUGUCCCAUGUCUAUGUGUUUACGGUUUGGGGAGCUCCCAAAACCGUAAACACCCCAAUGAGGGUUUUAAUGCCCCAUAUUCCUUCCUUAAGCCAAGAAACUAGCCUAGACCUUUACCUAGAAGUGUUUAGGAAUUGAAAACUUCAUUAGACCAUAAAUCAUAUGAGUUUACUACCGUAAACCCAAAGAAAAAUGGUCCAAAAACCGUAAACCCUAUAAAGGGGUGAUAUGUUGCCCUAAUCACUUCCUAAGGCUAAGACUUGAAGUUAGGAUGCUUCAAAAUGACUUCUAGGACUUCAAACCACCAAAUGGUCAAAGUACCAUGAGUUUACGGUAGUAAACUCAUGGGUUCCAACCGUAAACUCAAGUGGAGUUGGUUACAAAACCAUAAACACCAAUUAGUGUCAUUUCACUUCCCAUUGUCGAAUCACAUGUGAUUCCAACACCUAGCCAAGGUGUUUCUUAGUCCCGGAAGGUGUUAUCUUUCAUAUAGUUCUUUAAAACACUAUAUUCAGGUCAAUAUGUGUCCUUAUAUAUCAUUUAGGACUUAUUGUGUCUCGGGACUUCAUCCGUGGAAGUUCUCAUCCGUACGCGCAUACCCUUUUGAACCACCCACAUCAGGUGAGUUCAUACCCCGUAAUGAAUCUUUUAAACUAUUUUAACUGUUUUAAGGUGGGGAAUACAAGUUGAACACAAUUAUAAUUGUGUAAAUGUUUGUUAUAAACAUCUUUCAAAAAUGUUACUUAUGUCAUUUAUAAGUUGUCAAUACAUUUCAAAACUCUUUUAAAGGUUGUGUUACUUUAUAGUUGUACAAAACUCCGUUUUUAAAGUAUAAGCAUAACUUGGUAGAUAAAUGAGUCUUUUCAGUAACAGUACAGUUAGAAGAUUAGUAAAAUAUUAUAGGUAUAGUUUAGGAGAAUGCUAUUCAUUACUUCUAGUACAAUGAAGCACACAAAGCAAAAAAAAUACAAGAACAGAGCAAACAGUGAAGAGAAUCAAACAAUACCAGAAUAGAACAUAACAAACCAGUUAGGUUGCUAUAGCAUGAUAACACACAGACAGGAUCUAAUUAUACCAAUGAAUCACUAACGCAUUAGUGAUGGUUAUAUUGGGUAUACAUGAUCAUAUAACUUUAAUGCGAAUUACACGGCUUGCAUGGAUUUGUUGGGGUCGCGUUGGGUUCCCUCAAUCUCUUUACAUUGAGAGCGUUUAGUAGGGGUUCUAGCUUUCACAUUAUGACCGUAAUAAAAUGAAUAUGUUUUUAGGUUAAUAAUACCUCCGCAUGUCAUUAUAAACGACAUCAGUGUACUCACUUCUCCCAUUACUUUCAUAAAGUGUCGGUAACACUUGAAAGUUGAUCUAUUUUCUAUUCGAGAUAGUUAUAAACUAGGAAGAAUAUACUUCUACAUUUGACAAAGGAACGGUCGGGUCUUGGUAGAAGGCUACUUUCAAAAUAGUCGAGUCUUCGUAGAAGGCUUCUUUCAAAACAGUCGAGUCUUGGUAGAAGGCUGCUUUCAAAACAAUCAAGUCUUGGUAGAAGGCUACUUUUAAAAGUUAGGACCAUAAUGCUAACGUUAUAAUUCCUUAAUGUAUACACUAUAGGAUACAUAUAUGCUAAGUAGAUUCCGACAGCUAAUAGGAUGUGUGCUCUUCGCUGUACGUCCUGUUCCCGUUGGAUGUGGGCUUACACUGAGGUCACCCAGUCUAUUAUCUACCCGAAUCUAUAUAUAUUUAUGCUUAGUAUACAUUAAGUCAUCAUAAGGGUACCAGGUAUGGAUCAGGUCAUAGGAUACAGAGUCAGCGCACAGUUAUUCUAGUACAAAACUUACUUUUCAAAGUCAGUACUUUUGUAUACAAAACUAGCGAUUUCCCAGUUAAGGGCUUAAUCCAUUUUAUUAAGCCAGUAUAGUUUUAAAGACUUUAAGUGAGUUAACUCUAUAACACCUUAGUUUAUACACCAUGUUUAUAUAUAAAACUAGUAUCCAAUAGGUAGUUAAAUGUGUGUUUUCCCCCGACGUCCUGUUCCCGUUGGAUGUGGGCUUAGGGCAGAUUCCCCCAAUUAACUAUCUACCCAAUAUCAAAUUAUAUAUAGCAGCAUAAACAAAGCUAUUAUAAAAGUAAUCACCGUAGUCAAUGUUUUACUAUAAGAAAUAUAGGUUUUCUUAAAAGAACUAUCCAUUAGAUAUAAAGGAAUCAUUACAAAUAACUCCAUGAGUAACAAGUGAAUACACCAAGAUUAUAUAUGACAACGAUCUAACAACCAAUGGAAUGUGUGCGAUCCGCCUUACUUACUGUACCUCGUUGGGUUGUGAGUUGAGGGCAGAUGCGCACAAUCGAUUGUUUAUUUACUCCAAGUAUAUAUAUAACUUGUACCCUCUUAGUACGCAUAGAAAGGCUUGUAGUGUCAUUUUACUUAACUUCCAUUAAAGUAGGAAAUAUAGGAUUUUCUAGAGGAACAGGCGAACUUUUCAAAACAGAACUUACAACUUACAUCACUUUUACAUAUACAUUUUUUCCACAUCUUACAGCUUACAUCACUUUACAUAUACAUUUUUAACAACACUAUACAACAUACUCACAUCACAAAAAUCUUAUGAACUCGCCAGCUUAAUUGCUGAUCAACUCUUUCAAAUAACUUGUAUUCUCAAGAGACUAUUAGACAGGUGUUCGUGCUGGGAAUUUAGAAGAGGGAGCAUUACAGCGUCAAGUCUUGUUUUGUUAUUUGUUUAUGACUUCUAUGUUUUGUGAACACACACAUUGUAAACACUUUCUUUCUUUCUAAAUGAAAUGGUUGUUCAUUACUUGCUUACCAUAUACAUAUCUUGUGAUACUUGACAUGACGUCCUCCACCCCCGAACGUUUCCGCUGUUCCGGUUUUGGGGUGUGACAGAUUGGUAUCAGAGCAUUGUUUAUAGUGAACUAAGUAUAUCAACCGAUAAAAGAUAUACAGCUAUAAAUACAAUGGGGCUUAAGUGCUCUGUAUAAUGAUAUAUUUUAGAGUAUAACUUCAAGUUAUAAAAAUAUACCUACUUGCUCAUACAUGUACAUAAUAGAACUAGUGUCACGAGGAGAACAGAACUAAAGUAUUUAAUGGUUGGACACUGUCGUCAACUUGUACAGUUAUGUAAUCAUAGCUAGGAUCAAUAUAGCCUAAUCAACUAUAUUCAUUCGAUAUGUGACCGACAUAUGUUUGGGAAUGAUGUGGUGUUGCAACAGAGUUAAAACUUACCCGAACACCAGUCAAGAGAACGCCAGAACAAGUACUGUUAGAGUUAGAAUACUAUAGGAGUAUUUUAGUCCAGAUAAAUAACUUAUGUGAUAACUUAAAAGACCCUUGCGGAUAGGUCUAUAAUCUUACAGGGUAUAUUCAUAAAGUUUUAUAUAUAAUCAAGAUCUUAUAGACAUAGACUUUGUGACCGACGCUUCACUAUCCAUUCCUUUUAAGGAAGUAGUGUUGAGGUGGGAUCAAUUAUUCGAAGGUAUAUUUAACCUUCAAUUAUAUAUAAUGCAAAUUGGUGUACCUAGUACGAUUAUAGGAGGAUUCCGUAGGGAUCACCCCAUAAAGGUACCUUAAAGUUCAUAGGUUCUUUCGUCACUGUCAUUCUCGCACAACAAGCCCAGAUAAACGUAACCACUUCCUCAUAGUAGACAACAGAAGAGUUAAGGAGGAAAAAGGACAAAUUCAUGAUAAGAUUUCAGGGAAAGAUCAUCCGAAGUAACCAAAACGUCUCACGCGUCACACUAAUGAAUAUUAAUUAGGUUAAUUUAUCAAGCGAGUGGAAACACUGCUCACAUUUCAUGUGUUAGAAUUAUUUUCUUACAUGCAGCUAGUAACAGUUAUUUAGGAAACAAAUAUUCAUUCGAGGAUAGUCAUUUCAAAUUCAUAGAGUUUAUUAGGUAUAGACUCAUGUAUGAAUUGUUUCUAAAACCCUGUGGAAGUCAAGACCAGAUACAUCCAGAACUAGGAUAACCUUGUCUUUUCAGCUUUCGGCUUGUGUCCGUUACUAUAGACUUAUUCUGUCUCAUCUUUGUUUUCUUUUAGCAAAGAUGCCUCCUCGCAGAUCACCCAAACACGCUACUCCGAUAACUCCCAUACCUUCUCUGCAAAUCGAUGCAGCAACUCUGAACGCUGCAGUAGUCGUGGCUGUGGCAACAGCCAUGGCACAAUAUCACCCCAUCAGUACGGGUGGAGGUGAAACGCCUACUGAUUCUACUCAAGGUGAGGUCCCUGUGCGCCAGGGAGAGUUCUCCUACAAGGACUUCACCAGAUGCCAACCAUUGUCCUUUAAAGGGAAUGAAGGAGUCAUUGCUCUCAUGCAAUGGUUCGAGAAAACAGAGUCGUUUUUUGAAAUUUGUUUAUGCCCAGAAGGAAGCAAACUGAAGUUUGCUGCCUGCACCUUCGAUGGCAAGGCCCUAACAUGGUGGAACAGCCAUGUUAAGUCACUGACCUUAUAAGUGGCAAACUCAAUAGGUUGGGAAAACCUAAAAGAGUUAAUGCGAGAAGAAUAUUGCCCGUUAGGCGAGAUUCAAAAGCUGGAACAAGAGUUGUGGGAUCUCGCUAUUGUCGGCUCAGACAUAGUGACCUACACCGACCGGUUUAGCGAACUAGCAGCUCUAUGCCCCGAGAUGAUUACCUCGGAGAGCAAGAAGAUAGAAAGAUACAUUUGGGGUCUGACUGCCCCGACCCAAGGAAAUGUGCUGUCUUCUACCCCAGCCACGUUCGCUAGUGCUAAAUGCUUGGGUCAGCGACUCAUCGAUCAUGGAGUCCGCCACAGCGUAAAAGUCCCUAUUCCCGAGUCAUCAAGGGAAGAGGACUAUAAUCAGGAGUCGGAGAACAAGAGAAAGAAGAAGCGAACAACACAAGACACCCCACAAGAGCAACAAGCGAGUACUAUGUACGCCGCAAUGACGCCUACUGCUUCAGCACCUGCUAGUCGAUAUUCGGGAAACCUUCCGAAGUGUGGAAAAUGCAACUUUCACCACACUGGAGUGUGCCGGGAAAUGCAGUGUCUAAACUGCCACAGAAAAAGACACACAGUCUGUUACUACAGGGCACCGGCUCAACCGAUCUCCCCAGUCUUCGGAGCUGAAGAAAACCAAGCCUGUUAUGGCUGUGGUGAGAAUGGACACAAUCAGAGGGACUACCCAAUAAUGAAGAACUCAAGAGCGGAUGGACGUAUUCUGAUGAUCACCGCAGGAGAAUCUACCCUGGAGUCGUCGACGAGUAGUGGUACGUUUUCAAAAUAGUAAUUACAUUUAAAAUUAAUUUAUAUUCAUAUAAGAUUAAAAAUUUGGGGAUGACACUUAAAAGUAACUAUAACUACUCACAUGUUGAAAUAGGUCGUAAUAUUCAAGAGAACUAAAAAGAUCCCUUAGAGAAGCUAUUAUGGCUUACCAUAUACAUUAGGGUUGUGCGCAACUGAGAUGUUGCAACCUUAGAGUGAGUGACUCCGCUUAGGUCCCCUUUCCUUAAUUGGUUGAGGAUUUGAGGCAGAGAUGCUCAGUCGACUGCCUGGCUCAUCUUAAGUAUUCCCAACUUGUAUAUGACGGACGAUGGUAGUGGUACCAUGGGGGAUCAUGGUAUAAAAGUAUCCCUUGAGUAAAUAAAGCACUUUUAAUUAGAUGUAUGUGCACAUAGCGGUACGAAACAUAGGAGUGUUAAUUUCAAUAUAAAAGUCAGGAAAUUCGAGAUCAGUUACAAGGAGUACAUUGUUGAACAUACUAGGAGUACAGUACCGAGCAUACCAGGGAUACAUCGUAGUUUAUCAGACGUUUCUUUCAUUUGACCAAAACUUUGUUCAGUAUAGAGUCCGUUGUUUUCUUUCAUCAUGAGUUGGUGUGGUCCUCACCAUACUGAGUUUAUAUGUUUCUAUCGCCUCGAUCGGCAAGUUCUCGAAACUUUCAUCAUUCGUACCGAAAGUCUGACCUGAAUCAAAAUUUUUUAUCUUUCGCAUUCUAAACCCCCGAAGUACUCAUGCGAAGAGUACUUUGUCCUCCUCAGCCUUAUCGUCAGACGUCUGCAGACCGUCACGAAAUACCACUCGUCCAGCAGACCAAGUUCGAGCAUAGAGGCUAUGGACGAAUACAACCCGCCUAUCAUUUUGAAUGUAUACGCAAGGGUGGUAUAUGAGACUGAUUACGUAGAUCUAGUAUGUGUGUUUCCGCCCUAUCUCCUGUUUUCCCCGUGGGUUGCGGACCUAGGGCAGAGUCGCACAUCCGACAAUCCUACUAAUCAUAAUAAUAUAUGACUUGUAUACACGAGGUAAUGAUAGAUGGACCAAGUAUGAAUCCUAUCAAGAACACCAGUGCAAGGUUGCCAGGUCUACGAGUGAGUAUUCUACAAAGCAGAAGAACUCAACCCCAGUAGUAACGUUAAGAGAGCUAAUUUUGGGACAAAAUUCAUUCUAACGGGGGGAUGAUGUGACAACUCAAAACUUUCCAAUUUGUUCAACCAUCCACUUCAAUAUGAGUUAAAACUACUUCUACUAACUUGCAAACUUUUUGGAAUAACUUUGAGUGGUUUAAAGUUAGUGCUCCAUGAGAUAUCAGGAGAGUGGAUACCCUAAGGUUUACUAUGUAGCAAUAAGUGCCCAAAACUUCAAGAGUUUUGAGUUUGCGGUCCAAAAAGGUAUUGGGACCAUAAACCCAAAAGACUAUAUAAGUGAGACUUAGAAAUUUUAAUCACUUUUUCACAUUUCCAAAGACUAAGGCCAUUUCUCUCUCAAGUAUCAUCCCGUUUUCUUCAAAGAUCUUCAACUAGUAAGUGUUUCUAGCCCUCUUAUCAUUAGAUCAAGUGUUAAAGAUCAAGAAAUCAUCAAAAUUCCCUAAGAACAAGGUGUUCACAGCCCAAGAUCUUCUUGGACCGUGAACACUAAAAGUAUGGCUUAAAUGUGCCUUUUGUCCCUUUAGACCUUGGAAACAAGUAUAGCAACAACCCUUGACAUGUUUAAACCUUAAGAGCAUCAAGAAAACACCCAAAAUCACAAAGGAUAAGGUGUUUACGGUCCAAGAAUCUCCUUGGACCGUAAACCCUAAAAAGGGUGCUUAAAGUGUGCCAAAGUGCCCUAAACUCUAGCCAAACCUUAGAAGAAAACAUGGAAACUUCCUUUGAUAUGUUUAGCACAAGAAAAUCACAAAAAUGUCCCAUUUCUAGGUGUUUACGGUUUGGGGAGCUCCCAAAACCGUAAACACCCCAAUGAGGGUUUUAAUGCCCCAUAUUCCUUCCUUAAGCCAAGAAACUAGCCUAGACCUUUACCUAGAAGUGUUUAGGACUUGAAAACUUCAUUAGACCAUAAAUCAUAUGAGUUUACUACCGUAAAACCAAAGACAAAUGGUCCAAAAACCGUAAACCCUAUAAAGGAGUGAUAUGUUGCCCUAAUCACUUCCUAAGGCUAAGACUUGAAGUUAGGAUGCUUCAAAAUGACUUCUAGGACUUCAAACCACCAAAUGGUCAUAGUACCACUCAUGGGUUCCAACCGUAAACUCAAGUGGAGUUGGUUACAAAACCAUAAACACCAAUUAGUGCCAUUUCACUUCCCAUUGUUGAAUCACAUUUGAUUCCAACACCUAGCCAAGGUGUUUCCUAGUCCCGAAAGGUGUUAUCAAUCAUAUAGUUGUUUAAAACACUAUAUUCAUGUCAAUAUGUGUCCUUAUAUAUCAUUUAGGACUUAUUGUGUCUCGGGACUUCAUUCUUGGAACNUUCUCAUCCGUACGCGCAUACCCUUUUGAACCACCCACAUCAGGUGAGUUCAUACCCCGUAAUGAAUCUUUUAAACUAUUUUAACUGUUUUAAGGGGGGGAAUACAAGUUGAACACAAUUAUAAUUGUGUAAAGGUUUGUUAUAAACAUCUUUCAAAAAUGUUACUUAUGUCAUUUAAAAGUUGUCAAUACAUUUCAAAACUCUUUUAAAGGUUGUGUUACUUUAUAGUUGUACAAAACUCCGUUUUUAAAGUAUAAGCAUAACUUGGUAGAUAAAUGAGUCUUUUCAGUAACAGUACAGUUAGAACAUUAGUAAACUAUUAUAGGUAUAGUUUAGGAGAAUGCUAUUCAUUACUUCUAGUACAAUGAAGCACACAAAGCAAAAAAAAAUACAAGAACAGAACAAACAGUGAAGAGAAUCAAACAAUACCAGAAUAGAACAUAACAAACCAGUUAGGUUGCUAUAGCAUGAUAACACACAGACAGGAUCUAAUUAUACCAAUGAAUCACUAACGCAUUAGUGAUGGUUAUAUUGGGUAUACAUGAUCAUAUAACUUUAAUGCGAAUUACACGGCUUGCAUGGAUUUGUUGGGGUCGCGUUGGGUUCCCUCAAUCUCUUUACAUUGAGAGCGUUUAGUAGGGGUUCUAGCUUUCACAUUAUGACCGUAAUAAAAUGAAUAUGUUUUUAGGUUAAUAAUACCUCCGCAUGUCAUUAUAAACGACAUCAGUGUACUCACUUCUCCCAUUACUUUCAUAAAGUGUCGGUAACACUUGAAAGUUGAUCUAUUUUCUAUUCGAGAUAGUUAUAAACUAGGAAGAAUAUACUUCUACAUUUGACAAAGGAACCGUCGGGUCUUGGUAGAAGGCUACUUUCAAAAUAGUCGAGUCUUCGUAGAAGGCUUCUUUCAAAACAGUCGAGUCUUGGUAGAAGGCUGCUUUCAAAACAAUCAAGUCUUGGUAGAAGGCUACUUUUAAAAGUUAGGACCAUAAUGCUAACGUUAUAAUUCCUUAAUGUAUACACUAUAGGAUACAUAUAUGCUAAGUAGAUUCCGACAGCUAAUAGGAUGUGUGCUCUUCGCUGUACGUCCUGUUCCCGUUGGAUGUGGGCUUACACUGAGGUCACCCACUCUAUUAUCUACCCGAAUCUAUAUAUAUUUAUGCUUAGUAUACAUUAAGUCAUCAUAAUGGUACCAUGUAUGGAUCAGGUCAUAGGACACAGACUCAACGCACAGUUAUUCUAGUACAAAACUUACUUUUCAAAGUAAGUACUUUUGUAUACAAAACUAGCGAUUUCCCAGUUAAGGGCUUAAUCAAUUUUAUUUUGCCAGUACAGUUUUAAAGACUUUAAGUGAGUUAACUCUAUAACACCUUAGUUUAUACACCAUGUUUAUAUAUAAAACUAGUAUCCAAUAGGUAGUUAAAUGUAUGUUUUCCCCCGACUUCUUGUUCCCGUUGGAUGUGGGCUUAGGGCAGAUUCCCCCAAUUAACUAUCUACCCGAUAUCAAAUUAUAUAUAGCAGUAUAAACAAAGCUAUUAUAAAAGUAAUCACCGUAGUCAAUGUUUUACUAUAAGAAAUAUAGGUUUUCUUAAAAGAACUCUCCAUUAGAUAUAAAGGAAUCAUUACAAAUAACUCCAUGAGUAACAAGUAAAUACACCAAGGUUAUAUAUGACAACGAUCUAACAACCAAUGGAAUGUGUGCGAUCCGCCUUACUUACUGUACCCUGUUGGGUUGUGAGUUGAGGGCAGAUGCGCACAAUCAAUUGUUUAUUUACUCCAAGUAUAUAUAACUUGUACCCACUUAGUACGCAUAGAAAGGCUUGUAGUGUCAUUUUACUUAACUUCCAUUAAAGUAGGAAAUAUAGGAUUUUCUAGAGGAACAGGCAAACUUUUCAAAACAGAACUUACAGCUUAUAUCACUUUUACAUAUACAUUUUUUCCACAUCUUACAGCUUACAUCACUUUACAUAUACAUUUUCAACAACACUUUACAACUUACUCACAUCACUAGAAUCUUAUGAACUCACCAGCUUAAUUGCUGAUCAACUCUUUCAAAUAACUUGUAUUCUCAGGAGACUAUUAGACAGGUGAUCGUGCUGGGAAUUUAGAAGAAGGACCAUUACAGCUUCAAGUCUUGUUUUGUUAUUUGUUUAUGACUUCUAUGUUUUGUGAACACACACAUUGUAAACACUUUCUUUCUUUCUAAAUGAAAUGGUUGUUCAUUACUUGCUUACCAUAUACAUAUCUCAUGAUACUUGACAUGACGUCCUCCACCCCCGAACAUUUCCGCCGUUCCGGUUUUUGGGUGUGACAGAUUACAGCAUCCCUCUUCCAAUAUAUAAAAUAGUUGUUUUGUCCUAGCCUUAAUAUUUCAUUUUGGGUGAUCUAUUAAGGACUUAAAUCAACUAACUUGAAUUUCUCCCAUUGUCGAUGUUUUGUUUAGACAACAAUGAUCUUCACGAAUCUCAUGGAACAAGCUUUCCUAAUGAAGAUGUUUUCCUGAGUUUGGCUCAUGGAAAUCAUAAUUCACUUCCUCCCCCUCCUCCAAUUAUUUUCCCUGACCCACAAGCUCAAAGACUUGAAAAGUUCAAGAUCACUCAAGCCCUGAUCAUAAUGAAACAUGAAGAUGGAAGACAUGUGUGCACUCAUGUCUUAGGAAUGAAGUCACGGAUUGACAGGUUGAGAAUGUUGGCUAUCAUUAUCCCAAGGAAGUUGGCUAUUGAUUAGGUUCUUCAGUCACUUUCUGAGUCAUAUAGUAAGUUUAUUAAAGACUACUGUGUGACAGAUCACGACAUGACCCUAAUAGAUCUUUCUUAUUUGCUUAUUGUUGCUGAAUCAACAAUGAUUUGGCACAAUAGUCAAGUAAAUAUGGGUGAAAUGUCUAUUUCUCAAACUUCCAUGGACAUUGACAAUGGUAACAUUAGAAGUCCAGAAAAGCUUUCUCGUCCCAAUGGAAAGGGAUCGGCCUUGGUCAACCCGGUUGACCGGAAGGUAUAGAGAAAGGCUAAGUCUGUGAUAGUCCCGUGUACCAUUCCCAAAUAGUCUAUAUGUUUUCAUUGUUGAGAGAAGGCGCAUUUGUUGCGAAACUGCCCUAAAUACCUGAAAGAUCUAAGAGAAAAGGAAAAAUCAAAAAGGUUUGACUCUGUUUCAGGUAAGUCCACUAUCUAACUCUGCUAAGUUCCUAGUUGAUGAUUCUUAAUACAAAAUGUGACUCAGUUGCAUUUUUAUGUUUGGCAGGAUCAAGCACAGGGAAGGAAACUUAAUGAAAGAGUAUGCUAAAUCUGAUCGCGAAGAUGUAUUUCUAGCGCAUGGUUGAAGAUCGGAUUCUUGAGCUACUACUUAGGAGUUAUGAUAGAUUGCUAGGAAACAUGUAAUUAAUAUCAUAGUUUUCAUUUCAAGUUGCACUGUAUGGAGAAGUUUUCCACAUUUUAUAAAUAAAAUUUUGUUUUACUUUAUUUUAUAUCUCCUUGCAAAGGCACUUAUGAAAAAUUGAUGUUUGUAUGUUUCUAGCGAUAUUGGAAAUAUGAAUUUGAUUUCUUCAUUUGUGGUAGUGUCUAAAUUACCAAAUAAUGAAAUAUUCUCAUCACCCAAGUUUCAAUUAGAUUGAAACUUGGAAUCAUACAAGUUGUAUAGUAUGAUGAAUGAGAAUUUUCAUCUUUCGAAAAUUAAGACUAAUUCCUUGUUCAUAUGUAUAUGUAAGUCAGGUGAAGGACUAAGGGAUCAAGUACACAUUCUUGUGCACUGGUCAGAGUCCACCACAAAAGAUCGAUAAGACUAUUCGUCAUGAUUUACUAAAGUUUAGUAAAUAUGGUUAUACUUACAAGCUUAAGUGUAAUUCUGAGACAUUGGAAAAGUUUCAAUGUAUGGCAGAGCGAAUGAGAAGAAUCAAAUUAGCCAGAAGGAAAAAAGUUUCUCAAAUAUGAAAAUAUGGGAGAGUACUUUAGUAUCAUGUUUUAUGAUCGUCAUAAAGAUUAUGAUCAUCUAAGUGCAUUCUGAUAGCUAAGAAGAAGAGUCAUCAAUUGUUGAAGUGGUCAAAUCAAGAAGAUGAGUCAUACUUCAUUCCAAAACAAAUUCCAUACUCCAGGAUUGCAACUUGGGUGACACAUCUUAAAGAAGGUUUAUUAACACUUGUCAAAUGUAAGAGUAAAAGUUUUCUAUUCUUGUACAUUUGGAGCUGGUAAGUUGUGAUGUUUUUGAUAAAACAAAGGCCAACUAAGGCCAACUGUGUGAAGUGUUUCUCUUGAUUAGAAUCCACACUAUCUCUUAAAUAUUUUGCAAGAGCGUCUUGUAUGUCAAGAGGACAGUGGGAGUCUAAAAGAUCCUCAAAUAGUUUCAAGAACUAAUCAAGAAGAAAACUUGUAUUUUAUCACUAACACACGACUAGAGGUUUAUAACCUAUCGUGUUGACAUAUUCUUAUUUUUGUGCUCAUUCCAGUUAAAAUUGGCUAUGCAUUUGAGUUCUACAUGAUCUCAUUUGUUUGCAUAACUACUUGGAAGCAAUGGUAGGCCUUGUGCUGCCAAGUGGCAAGAAGUUAAGAUUUCACAAGUUCAGUCCAUAUGAGUUAGGAUUUGUCACUAACCUAGUCUUGUGGUUAUGGUAUUGAUAAAUUCACGUGGAUAAGCACAUAUACACCAUAAAAUCUAAGUUUCAUAAGGUUUCUCUCCGAUUCAUGAAAAUGAUGGUGAUGAAACACUUUCACUAAGUAGAUUUUAAGUAGAUAGCAUGGUCUAAACAAUUCAGACUAUGAUUACGGCAUCCCUUUUCAUAGGUCUGAAAUUGUUUAGACACACAUGUGAGCUAUCUAACAUAAGGUGUAUGAUUUUGAUAAAGUCUUAUCAAAGAAAUCUCGUAUCAGAAAUCUAAACUUUGGUAAUAAAGUAUUGAUAUCUAGAAGUCCAGUUGUUUUCUGGAUACAUGUCAAAGCUAGUGGGAGCAUAAUUGUUAUGCUAAUAAUCAUCAUGUUAGUGGGAGCAUAAUAAUUAUGAUAAGUAUUGCAAGUUAGAAAUGUUAAUAUAGAAAACAAAAGUUCCAAUUCGUUUAGUUGCAGGGGUUGAAAAAGUUGUNUCAAGAGUAUAUAUAUAUAUAUAUAUAUAUAUAUAUAUAUGUGUGUGUGUGUGUGUGUGAAUUUCAUGUUGGAUUGGUUCAACUCAAGGAAAUUCUAUAUAUUGUGUUCUCAAAAUUUGAUUAUGAUUACGGCAUCCCUCUUCAUAGUCAAAUUUCGAAAACAUGGCAAAUAAAAAUAUUGUAGCAAAAGACUGGUGCAGAAUCGUGUCUUUAUGUAAGACAUCAUGAAUCGUGUCCCAUUUGCUUGGGUACAGGAUCAAUUUCAAGUGCUAUAAUAUUUAUCUUUUCUAAAUUUUCCAAAUGCCUGGGGCAUUAAGAAGGGAAAAGGUCUAGAAUUGGAUAUGACUAAAAUGAUUAAGCAAGUGUCGAGGACAAUCUAAGGUUUACCAAAGAUUGGUUGCUCAGAGACAGUUGGAAGUAUAGUGUUAACUUUGGAAGAACAUAUUGACAUAUUCUAAAAAGAGGCAACUCUUGUUGAGAAGUGAUAGUCGAAAUGGGAAUAUGGAGUUGUCUCCAUGGGUGGAAGCAAGUUGUGUAAGAUUAGAAAACUUAAUGAAAGAAGCCUGUUCAAAGCAAUGUACUUUAAAUAUGAGACUUCGUUUCCAUGGAGUUGAUCUCCAUUGGAAUACUCUAUAAUGACUGUUGACAAGUCUUUGUGACUUUGUGCAUUAGAAUCAUUGAAAUUAUGUUCUUACAUUUACGAUAAGGAUUUGGGAGUGUGAAAUUAGAAUCAUUGAAAUUAUGUUCAAUUGGUCUAUUUCACAAAGUAAGGAUCAUAGACAAACAUAGAGUGCAUACUUGGUGUAUGGCAAAGCUAUUGUUUAGAAAAAGAUAGUGUACAUGCUUGGAGCAUGGGACAACUAGUGUUUUUAAUUCAAGUAUAAAGUUGAUAAAAUCGAAACAAUGAAUAAUGAGUAAUCAGUAUGGUGAUAAAUAUAAAGUGUUAUGUUUAUAUUCAUAGGUUUUGAUAGCAUAUUGGAUUCAAUUAUUCUUGUGUUUCAUUUUGCAUGUUUUGACUUCCAGAAUAAUCUAGGUCAUUCUUCCCGAAUGACUAAGUUAUUCAAACUAUCCGCAGUCGGUCAUAUGUUGGAAGUAGAUAUGAAUCAAGACUGUCAUGAUAUGGCUUGUAGAUGUCUAAGAUGUUAGACAUAUCAAGAGUUGCUACAAUACUCAUGAGUGCUCGUAAGUUCUGAGUAAGUUCUUAGUGAUGACACAUGUGAGUGCUUGGCCAAGCCAGGACUAAUUUGAUUUGUUUAAUUAGUCAGUCGUCAUAAAUCAGAAAUCGGGAAACAACAAAUGGACAGAGAGAAUGAUUAAUAAUCCAUGUCUCAGUCCAUAUGAUAUCUAGAAUGGAGGAAUAUAUGAUCCCUUAUCUGAUGGACACGUCAUUGACAAAUGUCAGAGUUCAUUGACAAGGUCAGAGUUUGACAACGUCUUUAAGAGCUACGAUUGCCAGUUAGGUUUUGGAGUCAUACAUAAUAAUAGUUUUAGACUUAUCCAAGUGGGAGACUGUUGGAUUAAUUUCUAAGCCCAUAACUAUAAUUAGUAUGUACUUGACCCGACCCGGCAUGGUGCAUUUGGGUUGCACUUCACUGGAACAAUUUAUAUGGAUAAUCUUUUGAGAAUAGUAUGUUUAUGAUUUAUAUUAAUAUAUUAUAAGUUCUAAUAUAUUAAUAUGAAAUCAUAUUAUUUAAUUAGUAUUGAUCAAGAAUUAAUUUAGAACUAAUUAAGUGAUAAAAAAAGGAACUAAUUGAAUAUGGANCAUAUUAUUUAAUUAGUAUUGAUCAAGAAUUAAUUUAGAAUUAAUUAAGUGAUCAAAAGUAACUAAUUAAAUAUGGACUCUUAUAUAUAUAUGGUGGGCCAAGUUCAUUUAGGUUGGGAUAAGCUUUCAUGGAUAGUCCAUGGAGCUUUUAACCCAUGGAUCCUAUGGAAAUGAAAGGUCAUGGGUAUUAGGGUUUACAUAAAGUAACCCUAAUCCUCCAUACUAUAUAAAGAGGUCUUUGGCACAUGAAAUGGCACUAGUGUGGGAAAUCCAAGAGUGGACCGAUUUCUAGUGUGCAUGAUAUUCUCUCAAGGUUUUCCAAGGUGUUUUGGUGAUUUGUGAUUCCACUUGAGGCUUCCACACUAUUGGGGCUAAGCUCUUAAAGUUCAAGACUUCAGGCUUCAUCAAAAGGUAUGU